GAUGAACGCUGGCGGCGUGCUUAACACAUGCAAGUCGAACGGUGAAAGCGGAGCUUGCUCUGCUGGAUCAGUGGCGAACGGGUGAGUAACACGUGAGCAAUCUGCCCCUGACUCUGGGAUAAGCGCUGGAAACGGCGUCUAAUACCGGAUACGAGCUGCGAAGGCAUCUUCAGCAGCUGGAAAGAAUUUCGGUCAGGGAUGAGCUCGCGGCCUAUCAGCUAGUUGGUGAGGUAACGGCUCACCAAGGCGUCGACGGGUAGCCGGCCUGAGAGGGUGACCGGCCACACUGGGACUGAGACACGGCCCAGACUCCUACGGGAGGCAGCAGUGGGGAAUAUUGCACAAUGGGCGCAAGCCUGAUGCAGCAACGCCGCGUGAGGGACGACGGCCUUCGGGUUGUAAACCUCUUUUAGCAGGGAAGAAGCGAAAGUGACGGUACCUGCAGAAAAAGCACCGGCUAACUACGUGCCAGCAGCCGCGGUAAUACGUAGGGUGCAAGCGUUAUCCGGAAUUAUUGGGCGUAAAGAGCUCGUAGGCGGUCUGUCGCGUCUGCUGUGAAAACCCGAGGCUCAACCUCGGGCCUGCAGUGGGUACGGGCAGACUAGAGUGCGGUAGGGGAGAUUGGAAUUCCUGGUGUAGCGGUGGAAUGCGCAGAUAUCAGGAGGAACACCGAUGGCGAAGGCAGAUCUCUGGGCCGUAACUGACGCUGAGGAGCGAAAGGGUGGGGAGCAAACAGGCUUAGAUACCCUGGGUAGUCCACCCCGUAAACGUUGGGAACUAGUUGUGGGGACCAUUCCACGGUUUCCGUGACGCAGCUAACGCAUUAAGUUCCCCGCCUGGGGAGUACGGCCGCAAGGCUAAAACUCAAAGGAAUUGACGGGGACCCGCACAAGCGGCGGAGCAUGCGGAUUAAUUCGAUGCAACGCGAAGAACCUUACCAAGGCUUGACAUAUACGAGAACGGGCCAGAAAUGGUCAACUCUUUGGACACUCGUAAACAGGUGGUGCAUGGUUGUCGUCAGCUCGUGUCGUGAGGUGUUGGGUUAAGUCCCGCAACGAGCGCAACCCUCGUUCUAUGUUGCCAGCACGUCAUGGUGGGAACUCAUGGGAUACUGCCGGGGUCAACUCGGAGGAAGGUGGGGAUGACGUCAAAUCAUCAUGCCCCUUAUGUCUUGGGCUUCACGCAUGCUACAAUGGCCGGUACAAAGGGCUGCAAUACCGUAAGGUGGAGCGAAUCCCAAAAAGCCGGUCCCAGUUCGGAUUGAGGUCUGCAACUCGACCUCAUGAAGUCGGAGUCGCUAGUAAUCGCAGAUCAGCAACGCUGCGGUGAAUACGUUCCCGGGUCUUGUACACACCGC
Molecule: ribosomal RNA, 1357 nt
Filed under: uncultured bacterium
Lineage: Bacteria
Description: bacterial SSU rRNA
Rfam family: Bacterial small subunit ribosomal RNA
Source: RNAcentral